RNAcentral lists this ribosomal RNA (1299 nucleotides) under Vibrio cholerae O1. RNAcentral's name for it is "bacterial LSU rRNA". It matches the Rfam family "Bacterial large subunit ribosomal RNA", at positions 1645 to 2925 of the family's 2925-position model. Lineage: Bacteria; Pseudomonadati; Pseudomonadota; Gammaproteobacteria; Vibrionales; Vibrionaceae. The record is from RNAcentral.
UACCCCAAACCGACACAGGUGGUCGGGUAGAGAAUACCAAGGCGCUUGAGAGAACUCGGGUGAAGGAACUAGGCAAAAUGGUACCGUAACUUCGGGAGAAGGUACGCUCUUGAUGGUGAAGUCCCUCGCGGAUGGAGCUGACGAGAGUCGCAGAUACCAGGUGGCUGCAACUGUUUAUUAAAAACACAGCACUGUGCAAAAUCGCAAGAUGACGUAUACGGUGUGACGCCUGCCCGGUGCCGGAAGGUUAAUUGAUGGGGUUAGCGCAAGCGAAGCUCUUGAUCGAAGCCCCGGUAAACGGCGGCCGUAACUAUAACGGUCCUAAGGUAGCGAAAUUCCUUGUCGGGUAAGUUCCGACCUGCACGAAUGGCGUAAUGAUGGCCACGCUGUCUCCACCCGAGACUCAGUGAAAUUGAAAUCGCUGUGAAGAUGCAGUGUACCCGCGGCUAGACGGAAAGACCCCGUGAACCUUUACUACAGCUUGGCACUGAACAUUGAACCUACAUGUGUAGGAUAGGUGGGAGGCUAUGAAGACGUGACGCCAGUUGCGUUGGAGCCGUCCUUGAAAUACCACCCUUGUAUGUUUGAUGUUCUAACUUAGACCCAUUAUCUGGGUUGAGGACAGUGCCUGGUGGGUAGUUUGACUGGGGCGGUCUCCUCCCAAAGAGUAACGGAGGAGCACGAAGGUGGGCUAAUCACGGUUGGACAUCGUGAGGUUAGUGCAAUGGCAUAAGCCCGCUUAACUGCGAGAAUGACGGUUCGAGCAGGUGCGAAAGCAGGUCAUAGUGAUCCGGUGGUUCUGUAUGGAAGGGCCAUCGCUCAACGGAUAAAAGGUACUCCGGGGAUAACAGGCUGAUACCGCCCAAGAGUUCAUAUCGACGGCGGUGUUUGGCACCUCGAUGUCGGCUCAUCACAUCCUGGGGCUGAAGUCGGUCCCAAGGGUAUGGCUGUUCGCCAUUUAAAGUGGUACGCGAGCUGGGUUUAGAACGUCGUGAGACAGUUCGGUCCCUAUCUGCCGUGGGCGUUGGAAGAUUGAAGGGGGCUGCUCCUAGUACGAGAGGACCGGAGUGGACGAACCUCUGGUGUUCGGGUUGUGUCGCCAGACGCAUUGCCCGGUAGCUAAGUUCGGAAUUGAUAAGCGCUGAAAGCAUCUAAGCGCGAAGCGAGCCCUGAGAUGAGUCUUCCCUGACAGUUUAACUGUCCUAAAGGGUUGUUCGAGACUAGAACGUUGAUAGGCAGGGUGUGUAAGCGUUGUGAGGCGUUGAGCUAACCUGUACUAAUUGCCCGUGAGGCUUAACC